AUGGCUGGCACACGUGCCAAGGUUCAGAUCACAGUGGACAGACUGGAGAUUGAAGUAUCUGAACUACGGGCUGAGCUCUCUGAUUUGAAGGAAUUACGCUCGGAAGUGCAACAGUUAAGAUCAGAGAUGGUGACCAUGCCACGAGUGGAAACCAAGCUGGCGGAUAUGGACGCAGAGAUACAGAAAACACUGCAACUCAUACUGCAAAACAUGUCUAUGGUAAUCAGAAAACUGAAAUGGCCACAUCCAGCGCUCCACCACCAGUGUGUACCGGCUCUCCCCAGUUCAAUAUACCACCAAGGGUCUCUAUUCCAGAUCAGACAGCAUUUUCACAGCCACAAACCAAGAGAAACCUGA
Molecule: ribosomal RNA, 357 nt
Filed under: Triticum aestivum (bread wheat)
Lineage: Eukaryota; Viridiplantae; Streptophyta; Magnoliopsida; Poales; Poaceae
Description: partial small subunit ribosomal RNA
Source: RNAcentral